Molecule: ribosomal RNA, 253 nt
Filed under: uncultured bacterium
Lineage: Bacteria
Description: partial 16S ribosomal RNA
Rfam family: Bacterial small subunit ribosomal RNA
Source: RNAcentral
UACGUAGGGGGCAAGCGUUGUCCGGAUUUAUUGGGCGUAAAGAGCGUGUAGGCGGCCAGGUAGGUCAGCUGUGAAAACUCGAGGCUCAACCUCGAGACGUCGGUUGAAACCAUCUGGCUAGAGUCCGGAAGAGGAGAGUGGAAUUCCCGGUGUAGCGGUGAAAUGCGCAGAUAUCAGGAAGAACACCCGUGGCGAAGGCGGCUCUCUGGGACGGUACUGACGCUGAGACGCGAAAGCGUGGGGAGCGAACAGG